AUUGAACGCUGGCGGCAUGCCUUACACAUGCAAGUCGAACGGUAACAGGUCUUCGGAUGCUGACGAGUGGCGAACGGGUGAGUAAUACAUCGGAACGUGCCCGAUCGUGGGGGAUAACGAAGCGAAAGCUUUGCUAAUACCGCAUACGAUCUACGGAUGAAAGCAGGGGACCGCAAGGCCUUGCGCGAACGGAGCGGCCGAUGGCAGAUUAGGUAGUUGGUGGGAUAAAAGCUUACCAAGCCGACGAUCCGUAGCUGGUCUGAGAGGACGACCAGCCACACUGGGACUGAGACACGGCCCAGACUCCUACGGGAGGCAGCAGUGGGGAAUUUUGGACAAUGGGCGAAAGCCUGAUCCAGUCAUGCCGCGUGCAGGAUGAAGGCCUUCGGGUUGUAAACUGCUUUUGUACGGAACGAAAAGACUCUGGUUAAUACCUGGGGUCCAUGACGGUACCGUAAGAAUAAGCACCGGCUAACUACGUG
Molecule: ribosomal RNA, 482 nt
Filed under: uncultured bacterium
Lineage: Bacteria
Description: partial 16S ribosomal RNA
Rfam family: Bacterial small subunit ribosomal RNA
Source: RNAcentral